UACGUAGGGACCAAGCGUUGUUCGGAUUUACUGGGCGUAAAGGGCGCGUAGGCGGCGCGGUAAGUCACUUGUGAAAUCUCUGAGCUUAACUCAGAACGGCCAAGUGAUACUGCAGUGCUAGAGUGUGGAAGGGGCAAUCGGAAUUCCAGGUGUAGCGGUGAAAUGCGUAGAUAUCUGGAGGAACACCGGUGGCGAAGGCGGCAUCCUGGACCGGCAUUGACGCUGAGGAGCGAAAGCCAGGGGAGCAAACGGG
Molecule: ribosomal RNA, 253 nt
Filed under: uncultured bacterium
Lineage: Bacteria
Description: partial 16S ribosomal RNA
Rfam family: Bacterial small subunit ribosomal RNA
Source: RNAcentral